This is a long non-coding RNA of Myotis brandtii (Brandt's bat), 1129 nucleotides long. RefSeq lists it as uncharacterized. NCBI's taxonomy places the organism in Eukaryota, Metazoa, Chordata, Mammalia, Chiroptera, Vespertilionidae. The transcript has 2 exons. The record is from RefSeq and is a predicted model, not a curated record.
AGAUGCUUUCAGGCCGCAUAUCCUGCAGCCUCCGAGGAAACGGGGGUCGGACUGUCCCUUAGUAGCUUUUGGUCCUUUGGAACUAGGGUGAUCGAUGGCCGGUGCUCAUUGUUCUACAGAAAACCAGCCCCUUUGGUUUGCCUGGGAACAGUGAGGUAUGGCUGCGUCAGGAUCGCAGAAAAAGUAGAGUGGGCCGUUGCCAUCCAGAUUGUGGUCCCGCAGUGCCUGUCAUUCCCACCGGCACAGUCACCUCUUUCUGUUGGGAUGCUAUCUCCAGAAAGCACAUGUAGGAAUACCCACAGCGGGCCUGGUCACCUCGCUAUUGGUUGGGAAACUGCUGAGGGACAGAAGAAAGGAAGCUCUCUCUGGUGGCAGGCAGGAAAGGUCUAGCUGGAGUUUGCAGACACAGGUCUGCAGGGGAGAGAAAGCACAACUGCGUGAACCUGGUCGGGUGGAAGACAAUGGGGGGUGAUCAGUAACGUUGCAAAUUGGAGUGUCCGCGCUGUAACUGAAGGGAGCAGCUGUUCAGCGCUGGCAGAAUGUUGCCCUUAGGAAUGUGGGUCCUGUGUUCUGAGAUAUUUAUUCUAUGUUUUUGUUUUUGUUUUUUUCUCUAAGAGAAACCCUAAAGCUGGAUUUUUGUGUGAAGGCCAAACUGAAACCAUCCUGGGGCAGAUGUGGCCAACAUGCAAUCAAUUUGCAAUUUCAAACCUGAACAGGGUUUUCUAUAUCCCUAAGAGUGGUAGAGGCUCGGAAUUAAGAGGGAGCCUGAGGUCUCUGGGUAUCAUGGAGGGGAGUAAAGAGUGUUAACAGCAAACACACACAGUGUGUGGCAGCUUUUAUCAGAUGAAUGAUGCCUCUCCGUCCAGACUAUUACUAUGAAAGACCUUUGUCACUGGUCUUUAAAAUGCUGUGUGCCAGGACAUAGGAAUACAGAAGCACAAAGAUGAAUAAAAACUAUUCAGAAAUAACUACUGCCUUGCUCCAAUCUUAGAGGAACUCUCAUAGAGUGGAGACAUGUAAAGAGACAACACCAGAAUGUGACUAUGCAUCUGUGACUGUUAAUAAUGGGGAGAGGUGACAAGAAAAACAAGUUUGGGGCCUUAGAUAAUUAAAAAUUAUUUUUUAAUAU